GAACUGACAUAAAUUGCAUAAAAGGACUUCACAAGAACAGAACUAUGGAUGCAAGCACUAGUAAACGAAGUGAAAAUCUGAUGAGAGAUACGGUGACGGUGAGCUGUAGCAGCAACUUGUGUAUAACAUGUCUAUGGAAUUACUAUACUCGUAUUGAUCAAGGUGAUGACAAUUUUUUCAUACUGCCGAUAUCAGUAUGAAGUAAGAACAAUGUCAGAAGUUCAACUACAAGGCCCUCCAGCUGAAUGCAAAAGUAAGCCCACGGAGAGACCGUCCACACCGCUUAGGCACUUACUCAACUUGGAAGAGCGAUCAGGAUCUAUGGCGAACAGGACAUAAGGACGAACAAGAACAAACCCUGCACAAACGGACUCGUGCGAACAGGCAUAUGCAAGCAAUGUAAUGCCAAGUGACUGAAACAGAAGAGUUUUAUCUCACAGUCUUGAACUGGAAGAUGACGAAACAUUUCAAUGAAAUCUCUGGAAAUGACAUCAUCAAAUAAACAAAGACUGGAGUUCAGAAGACCAGUUCAACACUUCUGAUAAAAUUUAUCAGGCAGUGACUUUCAUCUUCGACUUCCAUGCAUUUAUAAGCACUAAAG
Saccostrea cuccullata (small rock oyster) is the source of this 601-nucleotide long non-coding RNA. RefSeq lists it as uncharacterized. The record is from RefSeq and is a predicted model, not a curated record. The transcript has 4 exons. NCBI's taxonomy places the organism in Eukaryota, Metazoa, Mollusca, Bivalvia, Ostreida, Ostreidae.